Non-coding RNA from Chiloscyllium plagiosum (whitespotted bambooshark), 336 nucleotides. Lineage: Eukaryota; Metazoa; Chordata; Chondrichthyes; Orectolobiformes; Hemiscylliidae. The record is from RefSeq and is a predicted model, not a curated record.
CUUAACACCUAAGGGAUCAUAAAGACACUCUGGAUCACUCUCCAUCUCUGUGUAUGAGCACGGUGCAGCUAGGUUUCAAAGGAGGAAAAGCAAUUGCUUACUACAGCACAGUUUGUAACAGAACAAGUCAUGGGGUGCAGUUUGCUGCUUUUAAAAGUCUCCACCACUGACGUAUAGUUCCAACAGUGCGUACCAUCUACAAGAUAAACUGCAGAAAUUCUCCAAAGCUCAUUUGACCGCACCUUCCAUAUCCACGACUACUGCCAUCGAGAAGGACAAGGGAAGUGUAUGCAUGGAAACGCCACCAUCUGCAAGUUGCCCUCCAAGCCUCUCAAA